Cyprinus carpio carpio is the source of this 1685-nucleotide long non-coding RNA. The record is from Ensembl. Lineage: Eukaryota; Metazoa; Chordata; Actinopteri; Cypriniformes; Cyprinidae.
CUCUGUUCUCCCUCGUCGUUCUGCUGAGCAUUGAGGAAGCUCAUUUUGCCAGAGGUGAAGAUAUUUCCUCGUUCUCUCAGCCUCCCGUUCUCAUGGUAACGUCACUGAUCGAUCAGAGCAGCGCGCGCUUCAUUACGGAGCAUCGGCAGAAAUGCCUGCAGAUGACUAUAACUGGGAGCUAUUAGCUGGAAAACGCAAUGGGAUCACAGCAUGAAGCCUUGUUUGCGGUUUGAGAAAGAUGCUGAUUGUACCUGCUGUGUUGAUUGUAUCUUAAAAUGGUUUGCAUCAUUCGAAUAACAAGAAUCUCAGCUUUCCAAGGAGUUGUUGUAUGUCACAAAGUUAACCCUCAAAAACACGCAGUGUACUGCGGGCAGAACAGUGGAACACUAACAGGUUAACUGCCCCCUCCGUCCGCGUGAAUAGAACGCUCUCUCCGCUCUCAUCCAUCCUGUGAUACGGAGGCCGUCGAAGGAAAUGAGCUCUCGUUCAUCAUUCCUCCCUCACUUCCAACUCACACAAACAAACAAACAAAUAAACACAUAAACAGCCCAUUACCGCCAGUCUCAGGCCUCAGCGAGCUCACGUACGGCCUGGGAAACGCUGGGAAUGAUGAUGUUUUUUUCUCCAUACAAACAUGUCUUUUUUUUCUGAAGGAGUUCAGGCUGGUUUUUGUGGUGAAUCUGUUGAGCGCUGUAUACGGCUCAGUGCUCGGUCUGACAGGCGUCUCAGCACAGCUGUAUUCUGCAUGCGUGUAUGUCUGUGUGUGUGUGUGUGGGCUGUACACAUGCUUUAACACUUGUUUGCUGUUCUCGUCUCAUCUCAGGGCCUCACCUGUGCCAGGUAAACAUCUGCUGCCGGCUCCCAGCAGGCAUUGCUCUGGGUGAGGGUGUGGCAUGCUCGUCUUGUGUGGCGGUGCUGCAGGUGGGCUCCGGCGGCUCGAGGGACUGAUAGAGUUAUUAACAGGUGAUGUUCUGGACAGAGUCCAUCUGACCCCACAGAGCCUUAAAUACAUCACUGUCCAACAGGGACCUCCAGAGACGAUGCCGAGCUUUAUCCGAGAGCUCUGGGUCGCCAGAAAUCGUCACCUAAUGGCUUUGACGGGGGACACACACUCGCCGCGUCUGUGUUUCUUUUGUCUUCAUUCAGAUUGAAAUGGACCGCUUGCAGCUCACGUGUAUCCAUCUUCCAGAACCCCCAGCUGUUCUGGUGUCUGCGGCCCAGCUUCCACGCAUCGCUUUACAAAUUGUCUGUGAAUAGUGUGAAUACCCCCCCACCACCACCACCACACACACACACUACCCCAUUACCGCCAUGUCCUGACAAAUGGUCCAUGUUUCUCUGAACGUGUGCUUGUGUGUUUACUGAUUUCAUCCACUGUUCGGUUGACAUCAAAACAGAAAUAUCAAAAAGCCUGAUUUUAGAUUCAGAAUAUUGAAAGGGAUGAAUCUUUGCAAUAUUCUUUUUCAUACUAUGAGAAUUUAUGAUGACUAUCCUUUGUCUGUCCUUUUAAAUGUCCUCAGAUGAUUGCAUCAGACUGAGCUCAGGUCACUGAUUCUGUAUUAGGUGUUAUAUUUCACAGAUGUCCAUUGUUUCAUGUGUCAUCAGCCCUGCUGGUUUGUAAGAACUGCAUCUUUUAUUAAAAAAAAAAGAGUUUGAUGGAAUGGAAAGGAAACAGAUUAUAGAAA